UUGACGGUCCCGCACAAGCAGCGGAGCGUGUGGUUUAAUUCGUUGCUACACGAAGAACCUUACCUGGGUUUGACAUAGCAGUGGUAGGGAAGCGAAAGUGGACCGACCCUUCGGGGAGCUGUUACAGGUGUUGCAUGGCUGUCGUCAGCUCGUGUCGUGAGAUGUUCGGUUAAGUCCGCUAACGAGCGCAACCCGCGUGGUGUGUUACAAGUGUCACACCAUACUGCCGAUAUUAAGUCGGAGGAAGGUGCGGAUGACGUCAAGUCAGCAUGACCUUUAUAUCCAGGGCUACACACACGCUACAAUGGUCGGUACAACAGGUUGCCAAGCCGCGAGGCGGAGCCAAUCCUCUAAAGCCGACCUCAGUUCAGAUUGCAGGCUGCAACUCGCCUGCAUGAAGUUGGAGUUGCUAGUAACCGUAGGUCAGCUAUACUGCGGUGAAUACGUUCCCGGGGAUU
Molecule: ribosomal RNA, 458 nt
Filed under: uncultured Anaerolineaceae bacterium
Lineage: Bacteria; Bacillati; Chloroflexota; Anaerolineae; Anaerolineales; Anaerolineaceae
Description: bacterial SSU rRNA
Rfam family: Bacterial small subunit ribosomal RNA
Source: RNAcentral